GCCUACCAAGACAAUGAUGCAUAGCCGAGUUGAGAGACUGAUCGGCCACAUUGGGACUGAGACACGGCCCAAACUCCUACGGGAGGCUGCAGUAGGGAAUCUUCCACAAUGGGCGAAAGCCUGAUGGAGCAACGCCGCGUGUGUGAUGAAGGCUUUCGGGUCGUAAAGCACUGUUGUAUGGGAAGAACAGCUAGAAUAGGAAAUGAUUUUAGUUUGACGGUACCAUACCAGAAAGGGACGGCUAAAUACGUGCCAGCAGCCGCGGUAAUACGUAUGUCCCGAGCGUUAUCCGGAUUUAUUGGGCGUAAAGCGAGCGCAGACGGUUUAUUAAGUCUGAUGUGAAAGCCCGGAGCUCAACUCCGGAAUGGCAUUGGAAACUGGUUAACUUGAGUGCAGUAGAGGUAAGUGGAACUCCAUGUGUAGCGGUGGAAUGCGUAGAUAUAUGGAAGAACACCAGUGGCGAAGGCGGCUUACUGGACUGCAACUGACGUUGAGGCUCGAAAGUGUGGGUAGCAAACAGGAUUAGAUACCCUGGUAGUCCACACCGUAAACGAUGAACACUAG
This 564-nucleotide ribosomal RNA is filed under the name Leuconostoc mesenteroides. RNAcentral's name for it is "bacterial SSU rRNA". It matches the Rfam family "Bacterial small subunit ribosomal RNA", at positions 263 to 819 of the family's 1533-position model. Lineage: Bacteria; Bacillati; Bacillota; Bacilli; Lactobacillales; Lactobacillaceae. The record is from RNAcentral.